GGGUUCAUGGAUCUGUCCUGAGAGGAGGACGAGGUGUCUCCAAUGCCAAGCUUCGGCAGCAGAAGCAGCAGCCACAGCGUACACAAAAGCCCGAACUGUUGGGAGGCGGAGGGUGGAGGGAUCCUGAGAGAGGGACUGCGGCCGGAUGCCCAGCUGUCGGAGCCCCGGCCAGUGUCUUCUGCAGUUACAUUGCCUUCACUGGUCAUGAGAGGAGGGGCUGUGGUAGGGCCUUGAAGGACGCCUGUGGAGCCAGAGGCCAUUGGAUUGCAGGCAGCCAAGAGCUACCUCGCCCCUGCUAUCUGCUGUGGCCCUCGCCGGGAUGCGAUGCCCUGACAUGGGUUGCCUGGAGCUGUGCGCAAUGAGCAAGGGGACGGCUGAUGGCCCUCCCAGAUCUGCAUGGCCUGGAAACCAUAAAACUCUUGGGAACUAUCACAUCUUCCCCAGCUACAGGAAGAAUAGAAGUAGUGUUGGAGAAGUCAAGGGGUCAGAAGUACUGGGGGCGUUCCCAGGUUCAGCCAGAAACAGUUCACAAGAGAGUUUUAAAUAAAGUGUACCUGUGGCUAAAUAUGACCUACUGAUUACUCUUAAUUUUUUCGCCACAUUUAUUGAGCUAUGAUUUACAUAUUGAAAAGUAUGUAUGUUUAGGGUGUACAAUAGAGUGCUUUUAGAUGUGUAUAUAUCUUUAAAUUACCUCAAGCUGGUUAACAUAUCUAUCCCCACACAUAGUUACCUUAUACGUUUCUGUGUAUGUGGUGAGGGCACCUGAGAUCUACUUUUGUAAACAAAUUUCAAGUACAGGUUAUUAUUAGCUAUAGUCACCAUUCUGCACAUAAGGUCCCCAGAAGUUUUUUAUUAUGUAACUGAAGGUAUGCACCCUUCGAUGGGUAUCUCCCCACUUUUCCCCAAUUCUUAGCCCAUGGUAACUACCAUUCUAGUCUCUGUUUCAUUUUUUCUUUCUUUCUUUCUUUUUCUUUCUUUCUUUAAGAUUUCACAUUAAAAUGAGAUCAAGCAGUAUUUGUCUUUCUGUAUUUCGCUUAUUUCACUUAGCAUAAUGUCUUCAAGGUUCAUCAACAUUGUUGUAAAUGAAACAAUUUCAUUCUUUAUUAAAGCUGAAAUUAUCUCUUUCUCACAGUUUACCUAUUUAUUUGUAUCAGAGGAGUGCAGGUACGCUUGGUGAUACUAAUUUUAUGUCUAUUGGCUGUAUACUCCAAAUUGGGAUUAAAGAUACUUCUAGUUUAAAAAUUUUAAGGAACCUCCCUACUGGUUUUCUUGUUUGUUUUUUUGUGUUGUUUUUUUGUUUAUAAUGGCUGCACCAGUGAGCAUGUUCAGCAAUGGUGGACAAAUAUUCUCCUUUCUCUGCACCCUAACACUUUUUGUAUUUUGAAUUUUUGAUAAUAGCUGUGCUAACACCACGAUGAGGUGAUAUCUCAUUGUGAUUUUGAUUUUCAUUACUUUGAUAAUUAGCAAUGUUGAGAAUCUUUUUAUAUACCUGCUGGCCACUUGUAUGUCUUUGGGAAAACAUCUAUUCAGAUAUUUUGCCCAGUUUAUCAGGAAAUUGGUUUUUGUUUUGUUCUGCUGUGAGUUUUUUUUUCCACAUUGACUAGUGUUAUGUAUAUUUUGGAUAGCAACAUCUUAUCCUACAUAUGGUUUACAAAUAUUUUCUUCCAUCCCAUAUAUUGUCUUUAUAUUUUGUUGAUUGUUUUCUUUAUUGUGGAGAAAGUUUUUACUUUGAUAUAGCUCCACUUUUUUAUUUUUGCAUUAGUUGCUUGUGUUCUUUCUGUCAAAGCCAAAACAUCGUUGCCACCACCAGUGUCAAGGAGCUUUCUCCCUGUUUUUUUUUUUAGAGGAUUCAUUAUUUCAGUUCUAAUGUUUAUGUCUUUAUUUUAAACUCAUUUUUGUGAUAAGAGAAGGCUUUACUUUUUUGUGUGUGCAUAGCUAGUUUUUUCUAACACCAUUUCUUGAUGUGUCUAUCUUUUCCUAAUUUGGUGGGAUCAGUUUACUGUAUAUGUGUGAAUUUAUUUCUGGGUCCUCUAUUCUAUUCCAUUUGUUUCUAUGUAGGUACUAUACUUUCUUGAUGAGUAUAGCUUUGUAAUAUUGUUUGAAAUCAAGAAGUUUGAGGCUUUCAGCCUUUUUAUUCUUCUCAAUAUUUGGCUAUUUGGGGUCUUUUGUGGCUCCAUACUAAUUUUACAAAUGUUUGUUUUACAUUUAUUUUAAUGGCAUUAAAAUUUUGAUAGAAAUUUAUUUAACUGUAGAUAACUUUAUGUAGUAUAGAUAUUUUAACAAUGUUAAUUUUUAGAAUCGAUGAACACAGGAUAUAUUUUCCAUUUUGUAUUCUUCAAUUUUUUAUCAUCAUUUUAUAGUUUUCAGUAUGCAGAUCUUUACUAUUCUUCGUUAAACUCAUUCUAUUUAAUGACUUAAGUAUUUAAUUCUAUUUGAUAAUAUUGUAAAUGGAAUUGUUUUCUUUAUUCCUUUCUCAGAUACUUUGUUGUUACUGUACAAAAAUGCAACUGAUUUUCAUGUUAAUAUUGUAUCCUGUAAGUUUAUUGAAUUUGUUUUUCAGCUAUAACAUGGUUUUGUUGUUGUUUUUGGCAAAGUGGUGGGUAUUUUUAAGGCUAGUUAUACUUUACAUGGAUAGUUGCUACUAUCAUUCUUUAAAAUAUGACCACAAGGGUUUCUGUUGUCAUGACUUCAGUGGAAUUCAGAUCUUCCCAUUUGAAAUAAUUUUGUCGGUUUUGCCUGGGCCCCGGGAUGGGUGGGGGGGCCACCCCACGGGAGUCGGGAGAUUCAGGAUAAGGAGGGAGAAGCGGUCAGGGAGGAGGCUGAGCGCGGAAAGCAGACAGGCUCCAGGGACAGCAGGGAGGAGAGGGAUUCCUGUCAGUGACCCAGUGGGGAGAGAGAAUGGGCCAGAAGAGGGGAAAGGGUGGGAGUGGGCAUCAGGACUGCUUCCUGACACGGGUGGGGGGCAGGGAACUUUGCUAAAACUGCAGGCCCCAGGGAACAGUGCAGGUAGGGUGGGAGGGAGUAGAGAAGACCAGGCGGACCCCAAAGUCAUUUGAGAAAGGGGUAUUUCCCAGUUCCUUCACCUCUGCCCAGCGUUCUGUGGGCAUGGACCCCAGGGCCAGGGUAGGGGAGGAGGCGGCUCCUGGCAUGCAGGGAGAGCUGAGGAGCGCACACCCGCUUUGUAGGGCGGUGUGAUGGUGGAAGCAAGUGAAGGCUGAGGAUACCGUUGGCUCAGUGGAUGGGCUCGGGGGGCAGGGGUGGGGUCGAGCUCACAGGGCCCAGCACCCGGACCUGCAGGUGGCCCUGGAGGAAUCCACCCGCCCGUGCCUUCCAAGAGACCAGUGUGCGAGGCGCCGCGGACACGCCUUUUCUAGCUGGAACAUUUGUGAGGCUGGAAUUUAAGCUCUGGCAGACAGGCGGCAGAAGAAGGACUGGAAGAAACCCAAGUGCAAAGUCCAGCCCAAGGAGAGGAAGCGGAAAUGCCUGGCCUGGUCAAACUGUGCUCUGACUAGAAGAUUCUGGGCUGGAUGGUCACCGUCCUAUAGAGACGCAGGCUCAGUGGGACUUCGAGGAGCACCAGGGACCCAGUGCAGCAAAGCAGAGCGGGCGGUGAGGACCCACAGCUACUGCUUCCCUGCACAGUUCGCCUUCUCCAAGGCCCAGCCCCCAGCUGAGCCCAGCAGUGAGUUGCAUGGAGCCUCCUGGAACACUGCCUCGGGUGACCGGUGGAAGACCCCACCUCCCAGGGAGAGGACCGUACUAUGUCCUCAGACAAUAAAGCAGCUCCUCCGACCAGAAAAAUAAAUAAAUAAAUAAAAUAUAAAAAUGUUGUUUGCUUUUCGAAAAUAAUUUGUAUCCUGUUUACUGGUCAACAUACUGCCCAUUUCUCUAUAUGCCUAAUUAGUCAAACUUUUAAAUGAAAUUAUUUAACAUUACGAUUUUUAUUAUGAAACAAAACAGUAAAUUUUGUAAUGGUUUUAAUAUCAUCUAAUAGGAUUGAAAAUAUGUCAAUUUGUCAUUGCCAAUGAAUAUUUGUGUUAUUUAUUUUAUACUGUUAGAUAUUCUGUCUACAAAUGUCUAAUGGCUUAGAAUCUUGCUUAACAUAUUGUAUGUGCUAAGUCCUAACUAUUCCAAUUCAUCAAAUUAUCUUUUUAUACCAUUCUUAAAAAUACAAUAUUAUUUUUUAUUUUUAUUAAAGUUAUUUUUCUAAUAUAAAUAUUUAUGAAAAUUAUAAAGUCUAUUCAGUCUGCCCUCUUGUCAGUUGCCCUCUUGUCAAAACUGAAAAAAAGUCAGUUUUUUUCUCUUUAUUAAUACACUAGAGGGUAUAAAUGUAGCUUCAUUACAGGGACAUGUUGCAUAGGGAUGAAGUGUGGGCUUCUGUGCAACAAUCAUCUGAACGGUGCUCAUUUUCCCAGUUAGGUAUUUUCUCAUUCCUAACCCCUCUACCAACCUCCCAUAUUUGUGAGUCUCCAGUGUCUAUUUUUCCAAUCUCUAUGUCCAAGUGUAUGCAUUAUUGAGCUCCCACUUGUAAGUAAGAAAAUGUAGUGCUUUAUGUUCUGUUUCUGAAUUAUUUCACUUACAAUAAUGGCCUCCAGUUGCAUUCAUGUUGCUGCAAAAGACAUGAUUUUAUUCUUUAUGGCUGAGUAGUUUUCCAUGGAAUAAAUGUAUAGUACAUUUUCUUUAUCCAAUCAUUGACUGAUAAAUUUAAACUGACUCCAUAUCGUUGCUAUUGUGAAUAGUGCUGCAAUAAACAUAUGAGUGUGGGUAUCUUCUUUAUGUAAUGAAUUAUUUUCCUUCGGGUAGAUACCCAGUAGAGGAAGUGCAGGAUCAAAUGGAAAUUCCAUUUUUAGUUUUUCUGAAAAAUCUUUAUACUGUUUGCCAUAGAGGUUGUAGAAAUUUACACUCCCUCGAACAAUGAAUAAGUGUUCUCUUUUCUCUGUAUCCUUGCCAGUAUCUGUCAUUUUUCUGCUUUUUAAUAAUUAGCCAUUAUGAAUGGUAUAAAAUGGUACUUCAUUGCGAUUUUUAAUUGGAAUUUCUCUGAUCAUUGGCAAUGUUUAACAUUUUUUACAUGCUUCUUGGCAAUCAUUGUCUUCUAUUUGAAAAAUAUCUGUUCUCAUUCUUUGCCUGCUUUAUAGUGAGGUUACUUGUUUUAUUCUUGUUGUUUGAUUUCCUUGUAUAUUGUAGACAUUAGUUCUUUGUCACAUGUAUAGUUCACAAACAUUUUUCUCAUUUCAUGGGUUGUCUGCUCACCUGCUAAUUAAAAGCUCCUUUUCAGGAACUUUUUAGUUUAAUUAAGUUCCAUUUGUCUAUUUUUGUUAUUGCUACAUCUGCUUUUGAGAUCUUGGUCAUGAAUUAUUUGCCCAGGCCAAUGUCCAGAAGCAUUUAUCAUUGGGUUUCUUCUAGAAUUUUUAUCAUUUCAGGUCUAACAUUUUAGUCUUUUAAUCCAUGUUGAGUUGAUUUUUUUACAUGGUGAGAGUCACGGGUUCCAUUUCAUACUUCUGCAUGUGGUAAUAUAAUUUUUCAAGCACAACAUGUUGAAUAGAAUGUCAUUUUUCCAUGUAUGCUUUUAUUGAUUUUGUAAAUGAUCAGUACGUGGCUUUAUUUCUAGGUUCUCUAUUCUCUUACAUUGAUCUGGGUGUCUAUUUGUAUCAGUACCAUGUUGUGUUGGUUAUUCAAGCUUUCUAGUAUAAUUUUAAGUCAGGUAGUGUAAUAUCUCCAACUUUGUUCUCUUUGCUUAAAUGUGCUUUGGCUAUUCAGACUUUGCUAUGGUUACAAAUAAAUUUAAUUCUUUUGCUAAUUCUAUGAAAAAUAACAUUGGCAUUUUGGUAGGAAUUGCAUUUAAUAUGUAGAUUUUUGGAGGGCAAUAUGGUCAUUUUAAUGAUAAUUCUUCCAAUCCAUUAGCAGGGAUGUUUUUCUCAUUUGUUUGUAUUAUGUACAAUUUUUUUCAUCAAUGUUUUGUAGUUUUCCUUGUAGAUAUCUUUCACCUGUUUGAUUAAUUGUAUUUCCAGGUACUUUUGUAGCUAUUGUAAAAGGAAUUGACUUUUUAAUUUGGUUCUCAGCUUGAUCAUUAUUAGUGUAUAAAAAUGCUACUAAUUUUUCUACAUUGAUUUUUAAUAAUCCUGAAACAUUAUUAAAUUUCAUUUAUCCAAUCUAAAAGGUUUUUG
RNAcentral lists this long non-coding RNA (6164 nucleotides) under Homo sapiens (human). RNAcentral's name for it is "non-protein coding lnc-TP53TG3-64:1". The record is from RNAcentral. Lineage: Eukaryota; Metazoa; Chordata; Mammalia; Primates; Hominidae.